GACGAACGCUGGCGGCGUGCUUAACACAUGCAAGUCGAACGGAAAGGCCCUGCUUUUGUGGGGUGCUCGAGUGGCGAACGGGUGAGUAACACGUGAGUAACCUGCCCUUGACUUUGGGAUAACUUCAGGAAACGGGGUCAAAUACCGAAUGGGGCCUCCUGCGCCAUGUGGGGGGUGGGAAGUUUUCGCCGGUGGGGGAGGGACUGGCGGCUUAUCAGCUUGUUGGUGGGGUAGUGGCUUACCAGGCCUUUGACGGGUAGCCGGCCUGAGAGGGUGACCGGCCACAUUGGGACUGAGAUACGGCCCAGACUCCUACGGGAGGCAGCAGUGGGGAAUAUUGCACAAUGGGCGGAAGCCUGAUGCAGCAACGCCGCGUGCGGGAUGACGGCCUUCGGGUUGUAAACCGCUUUCGCCUGUGACGAAGCGUGAGUGACGGUAAUGGGUAAAGAAGCACCGGCUAACUACGUG
Molecule: ribosomal RNA, 468 nt
Filed under: uncultured bacterium
Lineage: Bacteria
Description: partial 16S ribosomal RNA
Rfam family: Bacterial small subunit ribosomal RNA
Source: RNAcentral